GACGAACGCUGGCGGCGUGCUUAACACAUGCAAGUCGAACGGAAAGGCCCUGCUUUUGUGGGGUGCUCGAGUGGCGAACGGGUGAGUAACCCGUGAGUAACCUGCCCUUUACUUUGGGAUAACUUCAGGAAACUGGGGCUAAUACCGGAUAGGAGCUCCUGCUGCAUGGUGGGGGUUGGAAAGUUUCGGCGGUUGGGGAUGGACUCGCGGCUUAUCAGCUUGUUGGUGGGGUAGUGGCUUACCAAGGCUUUGACGGGUAGCCGGCCUGCGAGGGUGACCGGCCACAUUGGGACUGAGAUACGGCCCAGACUCCUACGGGAGGCAGCAGUGGGGAAUAUUGCACAAUGGGCGGAAGCCUGAUGCAGCAACGCCGCGUGCGGGAUGACGGCCUUCGGGUUGUAAACCGCUUUCGCCUGUGACGAAGCGUGAGUGACGGUAAUGGGUAAAGAAGCACCGGCUAACUACGUG
Molecule: ribosomal RNA, 468 nt
Filed under: uncultured bacterium
Lineage: Bacteria
Description: partial 16S ribosomal RNA
Rfam family: Bacterial small subunit ribosomal RNA
Source: RNAcentral